CAGCCGCCGCGGUAAUACGUAGGUGGCAAGCGUUGUCCGGAAUUAUUGGGCGUAAAGGGCUCGCAGGCGGUUUCUUAAGUCUGAUGUGAAAGCCCCCGGCUCAACCGGGGAGGGUCAUUGGAAACUGGGAAACUUGAGUGCAGAAGGGGAGAGUGGAAUUCCACGUGUAGCGGUGAAAUGCGUAGAGAUGUGGAGGAACACCAGUAGCGAAGGCGACUCCCUGGUCUGUAACUGACGCUGAGGAGCGAAAGCGUGGGGAGCAAACAGGAUUAGAGACCCCCGUAGUCCCUGUCUCUUAUAC
This 301-nucleotide ribosomal RNA is filed under the name uncultured bacterium. RNAcentral's name for it is "partial 16S ribosomal RNA". It matches the Rfam family "Bacterial small subunit ribosomal RNA", at positions 509 to 807 of the family's 1533-position model. The record is from RNAcentral.